This 2062-nucleotide unclassified non-coding RNA is filed under the name Drosophila virilis. RNAcentral describes it as "GJ16783". Lineage: Eukaryota; Metazoa; Arthropoda; Insecta; Diptera; Drosophilidae. The record is from RNAcentral.
CCGAGGCAGUCGCAAAGUGUUUUCAUUCUCGUUACGUCUCACAAGUGCUUUACUGUUAUAUGCAGUAGGUGUAUAUAUAUAUAUAUAUAUAUAGGUAUAUGUAUCAUAUAUAUGUGUGUCUCGUGAAGUAACGGCUGUUUGCGUGUUGCGUGUCAAAAACAACAACAACAACAACAACAACAAAGGGCUCAGCAGGCGCAGCGCAAACGGCGAACGCAUCCCCCGUGUCUCUAUAAGCGAUUAUUUAAUUUAUGGUUUAUAGUUAAAAAAUGAAAUAAAUUAAAUAUAUAAAUAAUUGGAGGAAAGUGCGUGCCGGUGAACAGCUGCGAGAAUUUACAAGUGAAGCGAAUAUAAUUAUACAAUGUUUAAAUCGAAGACAGUAGCUUAUAUUUGACCCCAGGCAAAGGUCAUUAUUAUAUUGAUAUUUAACUGUGCGCUCUGCUGUUAUCAGUGCAACAACAACAACAACAACAACUACAACAACAGGCGACAAGAAUAAAUAAAACAUUAAACAAAACAAUAACAAUAACAAUAUGGGUAACAUGCGCUAUUUGUCGGAGACUCAUUUGCGGGGCUUCGAGCGUUACAAGUACAACAGCAUAGACACUAGUUUUCUGAGUGUCUAUAUAAUGCAUCCGUUCUGGAAUUCCUGCGUGAAGUAUUUACCGAUGUGGCUGGCGCCUAAUAUACUCACUUUUGUCGGUUUUCUCAUGACCGUGGUGAACUUCAUAUUGAUAGCUUAUUACGACUGGGACUUCAAGGCGGCCAAUGACAAAUCGGUGGGCAACACGGUGCCCGGCUGGGUCUGGACCGUGGCGGCCAUCAACAUACUCAUCUAUUACAAUUUGGAUGGCAUGGAUGGCAAGCAGGCGCGUCGCACGGGCACGAGUGGUCCGCUCGGCGAGCUCUUCGAUCAUGGCUUGGACUCAUAUUCGGCAGCCCUAAUACCCAUCUAUAUAUUUUCACUGUUUGGCACGGCGGACUUGCCGCCAAUACGCAUGUUUUUUGUUAUAUGGAACGUGUUUCUCAAUUUCUAUUUUACGCAUGUGGAAAAGUAUAAUACGGGCGUUAUGUUCUUGCCCUGGGGCUAUGACUUUACCAUGUGGGGCGUCAGCGUGAUGCUGUUUGUGGCCACAUUGGUGGGUCCGGAAAUUUAUCGCUCCAGCUUUUAUGGUUUUACGGUGGCGAAUAUGUUUGAGGUUGGCCUCAUUGGUUCCGGCAUACUAUCCAGUCAUCCAAUUAUUAUAAGGAACAUCUAUCUCUCAUAUAAGAAUAAGACGGGCAAAAUGCGUCCCAUGAUGGAGAUGUUGCGUCCAUUUUUCGCCUUCGUCUGGCUCUUUCUGAUCACCUUGGUUUGGUCAUUCUAUUCGCGAAAUCAGGUCAUUAAUCUGGAGCCGCGUAUCCUGUGGAUACUCUACGGCACUAUCUUCUCCAAUAUUGCAUGCCGCCUGAUUGUGGCCCAAAUGUCGGAUACACGUUGCGAUGGCUUUAAUAUACUUAUGUGGCCACUGCUUGCCACUGUGGGCGUCUGUUGUUUUCCGUGGUAUGAGCAUGUUUUCGGCAUGGAUCUGACGGCACAGGGCGAACGCUGGCUCGUCCAUGGCCUAACAAUAUUCGUCACAUUGGCGCACUGGCAUUAUGGCUAUGGUGUGGUCUCGGAAAUGUGUAAUCAUUUUAAGAUUCGUUGCUUCAAAGUAAGAAAAUCCCACAGCAAUUCCGUUGAAUACACUACAUUCCAGAACAAUAACAAAUCCCAGAAAAGUCAUUGAAACUAAUUACAUACUAACUAGAAAAAAAAAACAAAAACAAAAACAAUCAAAACAAAACAAAUUCAACGAAAUACGAAAAUACCAAAAGGGUUGCCAUUUUGUAUGUGAUAUAAAUGUGGGUGUUACAAAAUUCUCUUUCGCCUCGCUCUGGUCUAUAUUUAAGUGAACCAUACUCAAUACAUUAGGUCUCAUGCGCCGCAUAACGUUAUGAUAACUAAACCGCCUGGCAACGCUGUGCAGGAACUGACCGAGACCAAUGAAGUCACAAAACGCACGGAGACCACUGAAGAAGU